CUUUUAAAGGAUAGAAGUAAUCCACUGGUUUUAGAAACCACCCACCCU
This 48-nucleotide transfer RNA is filed under the name Trachemys grayi emolli (Nicaraguan slider). RNAcentral describes it as "partial tRNA-Leu". The record is from RNAcentral. Lineage: Eukaryota; Metazoa; Chordata; Testudines; Emydidae.